CCUACGGGAGGCAGCAGUGAGGAAUAUUGGUCAAUGGACGAGAGUCUGAACCAGCCAAGUAGCGUGAAGGAUGACUGCCCUAUGGGUUGUAAACUUCUUUUAUAUGGGAAUAAAAUGUUCCACGUGUGGGAUUUUGUAUGUACCAUAUGAAUAAGGAUCGGCUAACUCCGUGCCAGCAGCCGCGGUAAUACGGAGGAUCCGAGCGUUAUCCGGAUUUAUUGGGUUUAAAGGGAGCGUAGGUGGAUUGUUAAGUCAGUUGUGAAAGUUUGCGGCUCAACCGUAAAAUUGCAGUUGAAACUGGCAGUCUUGAGUACAGUAGAGGUGGGCGGAAGUCGUGGUGUAGCGGUGAAAUGCUUAGAUAUCACGAAGAACUCCGAUUGCGAAGGCAGUUCACUGGACUGCAACUGACACUGAUGCUCGAAAGUGUGGGUAUCAAACAGGAUUAGAUACCCCAGUAGUC
This 460-nucleotide ribosomal RNA is filed under the name uncultured bacterium. RNAcentral describes it as "partial 16S ribosomal RNA". It matches the Rfam family "Bacterial small subunit ribosomal RNA", at positions 338 to 795 of the family's 1533-position model. The record is from RNAcentral.